RNAcentral lists this long non-coding RNA (3443 nucleotides) under Sus scrofa (pig). RNAcentral's name for it is "lncRNA (ENSSSCG00000058907.1)". Lineage: Eukaryota; Metazoa; Chordata; Mammalia; Artiodactyla; Suidae. The record is from RNAcentral.
UGAACAUGCCACGCUCUGUCGUGCUUUUGCCAGUUGUCCUCAUAGCCGGAGUCGAAAGUUUUUAAGGUGUUGUCACAUAAUAAUUACCAUUGGAGUAGCCACACUCGGUUGAAGAUUUAUGGUGUGCCAGGUACUUAAGUGAUUAAAUACAUCCUGUCAUUGGAUCCUUACAACCAUCCUCUGGGGUGGGUUCUGCUAGUGUCUCCAGUUUAUAGCCGGGUUACUCAGCAAGCUGAAGGCCACACGGCCAGCGAGGACUUGGCAGAACCAUGGCUUGUCUGAGGCUAAUGCUUGUUUUCGAAAUCAUUAGGUGAUAUUGUGUUCUAUCCCUACUAGUUAUGUUUACUUUCUACAGUUCUUCAAAGGAUGGCCUUUUAUUUUCCAAAAAUUGCCUUUCUAGUUAAGUUAAAUGGCAGUCAUUCGCUUCAUGUUAUUUUAUGUCCCUUUGGCAUUAUUUUCUUCCUUGAAACCAUAAAAACACUGGAGCGAAAAAAGGAGAGUGGGGCUCCUUGCUUGGGUAAGCCCACCCAUCAACAGGUGUCUGCUGGAGCCACAGAAAGUGACCCAUGCCAAACUAAAAAGUGUUAGAACUUUCCAUCUCGUUUGUGAGCUGGAGUACACUGAAUCAAAGAGAAAAUGGUGCCACUGGCUGCCUGACUCCCAGGUUGAGAAUUAUCUAGCACUGGCAGAAACUUCAGAGAUCAGCUGGUCCGACGCUUUCAUUGUACAGAUGGGGAAACGGGGGCUCAGAGAGGAACGGGACUUUCUCAAAAUUUAAACAAAGAGGCCCUCGUGGAACUCAGAUACACUGACUCCAUGAUAUAUUAAUCCCGGCAUGGACUCACCAGAUACCAAUCGAAGGCUUACAAUGUGCCAGGCACUGAGCCAAGUGAAAAAAUGGCCAACAAGACAAAAUUCCAGCCUUCACAGAGCUUCCAUUCUAGUUGAAAGAGACAGACAAGAAAUAAAUCGGUAGCAAAUCACAGUUCGAAGUGUGGAGAACUUAACUGGGAAGCAUAGUAAAUCCUGGGAAGCAACUAGUAAACCGUGGUAGUUGUCCAAGCAAGAGAUAACAGAGGCUUGGGUUUAUGACGAUGACAGUAGUUUCCUACCAACUGGUUGUUUGACCACAGGCUGCUCAUGUAACUUCUAGGGUGCUCAGUCUCUCAGCCUGCAUACUGUCCCCAACACAAUCAGCCUACCUCACAGAGGUGUUAUGAGAGUCGAUCAAUAAAGCACUAUGCAGGAGUUCCCAUCAUGGCUCAGUGGAAGCGAAUCUGACGAGCAUCCAUGAGGAUGCAGGUUCAAUCUCUGGCCUCACUCAGUGGGUUAAGGAUCCGGCGUUGCCAUGAGCUGUGGUGUAGGUCGAAGACAUGGCUUGGAUCCGGCGUUGCUGUGGCUCUGGCGUAAGCCGGCAGCUACAGCUCCGAUGCGACUCUGGUGGCUCAUCAGGAUAAGGAUCCAGCAUUAUCACUGCUGUGGCGCAGGUUCAAUACCUGGCCUGGGAACUUCCACACGCUGUAGGUGUGGCCAGGAAAAAAAGGGGGGGGGCACAAUGCAAGCACGAGCCAUUAAUUAGCAUCAACAAUAAUCCAGGCUUAGUGAUUUUCAAUGCGAAUUAAAUUAUAUCCAGCACUUUCCAUCAUCCUGUGAUGACAAGGCAGAGCUGUGCCUUUUUUUCUGGUUAGGUGUUAAAUUUAUAAGAAACUCUGGAAACUGUUCUCUUCAUAAAGACUCAGACUGUUUUAGAUAAGGCUAAAGUCUGCCUUGACUUCUGCCCCAUAUCCCAGACCCUUCUGUCUGUCCUCAGAGGAAUGUUGCAAGAGCUUAAAAUUUGAACUUCAGAAACAGAGAAUGAUGGUGCCGACGGCCAUUUGUAGCUGCAUGCUUCUAGAGCGUGAUACUGGGGUCACCUGGCAACACCUAAGUGAAGGCCUGUCUCUGCUGGGGGCACCACCUUUGCAAUGGACACCUGUGUUGACAGUUCUUUAGAUCCCAUUGUGGUCGAAGGUCAGCUGAAUCUCUGCCGGGCUGAAUUUCAGCCCUCAACAUGUACUUUGAAAGAAAAAGUGAUUUCUUUUUCUGUAUGUGUCAUUCAUCCCUAAAAAGAUGGCUGUUGUUGUUUUCAAGUACAGAUACUCUGUGUCUUGCACGUGAUCGCCGAGCGAGCAUGCCCCUGAAAGCAGCACCAGGUCACCUUCAGACUUACAGUGCCAGCAGUCCAGCAACCCUACUUGGGCCCCCCUCUCUGUCACUACUCACUUCUCCCCCAAGGAAGCCACUGUCCUGACUUCUGCCAGCACAGAUCAGUAUUGGCCAGUUUUGAACUUGAUAUAAAUGAAAUAAUACAAGAUCACCCUUUGUGCCUGGUUUCUUUUGCUCAACAUUUGGCUUGGGAGGUUCAUCUGCAUGUUCUUUGCAGAUGGCAGUAAUUCAUCCACUCUCGAUGUCUUGUAUAGUGUCCCACCGUGCAAGUACACCACACUAUUUAUCUGUUCCACUAGUGAUGGACAUUUGGGUUCUUUCUAAUUUGGGGCCACCUGGCAUAUAUAUAUUUACAUCAGAACAAGGUUUUUUCAGCCCUAAACUUAUACUGACAUGAGAACGGCACACCCGCAAAACAAAGCUGAUCCUUCCAUCCUGUCCAACUGAACGUCUUCCGUUCACACCCCUGUUCCCUCCCUCAGCAUAAAACCCAAAUUCCUUAGCACGUCAUUCAAGGCCUUGCCUGCUGGAUCGUAACCUAAACCUUGAACCUCACUGCCUGUCACCGAACGUCAGCAACUCACUUCUCCUCGCUCCUCAGACACACCAGGCCCUUUCAUGACUCUGCACCCGGGCACAUGCUUUUCCUGUGAUCUGGAUGUUUUCUUCGAUACCUGGAAAGCUUCAGCUGUUUCAUCCAGAUCCUGCUCCAAUGUUCCCUCUUUUGUGAAGCCUUCGCUAACACCCGUAGGUCGGACCCAGUGGCACUUUUCUCCGGGUUCUCCCUACAACUGGUUCACCUUGUUGAUGUGGUUCUCAUUUAACAAACACAUAGUAUCUAGUGCAUGCCAGCCGCUGCUGUAAGCACUGAAAAUACUAAGUCACUGAAUCCUCAGAACAGGUACCAUCAUCAUAGCAGUCUUGCCCUGUGAGGAAACUCAGGCAGAGAGCAGUAAACAUGACUUUGCCCCUUAUGGGAGGUGGCACAGCCUAGAUUCAGCCCCAGACGGUCCAGCGCCAGAGCACACCCUCCCUGCCUCAGUCACACUGCAGCACUCGCUGAGGUGGCACUGCCCAGCCUGUGCUGGGACAGAUCAGAUGGAGGACACACCUGACUCCCCCCCACUAGCCCGUGUCCGUCCUGUUCAAGUUCCUGUCUCUUUCCUCCUCGGGUUCUGAAAGCCGCAGACAGUGCUCAAUAGAAAAAACGAUAGGGCUGGUUUCACCGAGAGGCGUGA